This 698-nucleotide ribosomal RNA is filed under the name uncultured eukaryote. RNAcentral describes it as "SSU rRNA". It matches the Rfam family "Eukaryotic small subunit ribosomal RNA", at positions 647 to 1349 of the family's 1831-position model. The record is from RNAcentral.
CUGGACUGGGCGGUCUGCCUAACGGUAUGUACUGUCCGGCUGGGUCUUACCUCUUGGUGAGCCGGCAUGCCCUUCACUGGGUGUGUCGGGGAACCAUGACUUUUACCUUGAGAAAAUUAGAGUGUUCAAAGCAGGCUUAUGCCCGAAUACAUUAGCAUGGAAUAAUAAAAUAGGACGUGCGGUUCUAUUUUGUUGGUUUCUAGAGUCGCCGUAAUGAUUAAUAGGGAUAGUUGGGGGCAUUAGUAUUCCGUUGCUAGAGGUGAAAUUCUUGGAUUUACGGAAGACUAACUAUUGCGAAAGCAUUUGCCAAGGAUGUUUUCAUUAAUCAAGAACGAAGGUUAGGGGAUCGAAAACGAUCAGAUACCGUUGUAGUCUUAACAGUAAACUAUGCCGACUAGGGAUCGGGCGAACUCAAUUUGAUGUGUCGCUCGGCACCUUACGAGAAAUCGAAGUCUUUGGGUUCUGGGGGGAGUAUGGUCGCAAGGCUGAAACUUAAAGGAAUUGACGGAAGGGCACCACCAGGUGUGGAGCCUGCGGCUUAAUUUGACUCGACACGGGGAAACUCACCAGGUCCAGACAUGACUAGGAUUGACAGAUUGAUAGCUCUUUCAUGAUUUUAUGGGUGGUGGUGCAUGGCCGUUCUUAGUUGGUGGAGUGAUUUGUCUGGUUAAUUCCGAUAACGAACGAGACCUUAACCU